AAUUUCAUCAAAAUCGGUGAGAAAGACCGUCUCCUUCAGUAUUACCAGACAAUUUAAUAGAAAGUUACUUGUUAGUAUGCGUGUCAAGUGUUCGGUCUAAACUAGGUCAUUAUUUGCGUUUUAUAACCUCAAAGUCCGUUUCGGUCAAAUUGACAACACGUGUCCCAAAUGAGAAACGAAAAAAAUAUUUUUGCUACGCGAGACAAACUAUUACUUUUUUCUGCCGGAUUCUUUCAUUUUGAGUGAAUGAGUAUAUUUUCAUCAAAAUUUGAGGAUAAUGACCGUUUACUUUUUCGCAAAUGAGAAAUGACAAGUAGUUCAAUGAUUUUUAUAUAAUCUGCAUCAGGAAAAUAAAUCUAAAUAAAGAGAUGGAUCUGCACAAUCAUUAUUUACAUUUCUCAACAGCAAACAUUUCGCUUUUACAAACUAUAAGCGAUUUUAAGAGCAACUUACAUUAUUUGAUACAAUCUUACAAUCGUGAAAUGGUUAAAGAAGAGUUGGAUCUAGGUAAACUUGAGUUCUACCGAUCGCUGUUGUGUCAAGAAUACCAAUUUGUGUUUCCUAACAUUGAGCGAGGCAAUAGAAAGUAUGUGAUAAUCACUGAUGUGGAGAAACUUUGUCUUCCGAAUAUAAAUAUGAUCUUUCCAUCAAAUUAUUUACGUAGCACCUUGGAAAUCUCCCUCUUGUGUGACAUAAUCAAUCUGCAAAUGAUACUUUAUUGCGAUACAAGUUCAAUGAAACGAUAUCUGAAGGAUAUCUUUCGUUUAAGCGAUUCUUAUUUUGCAGCUAGUAACUCAAGGAUUAUGUAUAUGAAAAUAUUAGAAUAUUUUUUAGAAUUUUUACAUUUAUAUAAACUUCAUACCACUAGCGAGGAGAACGAGGAGCUAGAGGACUUCAGUCACAUGUACUUGGAGAUUGUAAAGUUAUGGCUAAAGUUAAAAGAGGAUUGCGAAUGGAAACUAUUUGCCUCGAUGUUUCCCAAAUUAAUACAAGUGUUUACUCCCGAGUGUAUCGCAUUUCCUCUGUGGGACCACCUUCUACGGGAAAUAAUUGAUUUAAAGGAAUUUCUCACUGAUCUAAGUAUCAUGGCAGAUAUAUGUUUCACGUCGUCGGAUUCAAUGUAUCAUAUACAUCGUGAUAUUUACUGUUCAAAGACAUUCUGGUUAUUUAUAUUAAAGGGAUUGCGAUCGCCCUUGCAACAAUAUCGUAAGCAGGCUCUGUAUAUAAUGAAGAAAGCGAUCGAUUCUAUAAGUGAAAAUGUAUCAAGUUUUACACAAGCGAAUUUAACAAAGGCUGAGGUCACACCAUUUAUCUGCAACAGAUUUGACAUGUCCUCGUCGAUAGAACGCAUUAAGGAAAGAUUUUUCUUGUUAUACGAAGCGUUGGAAGAAAAACAAGAGCAUCUGAUAACACCAGUUUUAUUUCACGUAGCUACUUUAGCAAAAAUAAAUAAAGAUCAUAGAACCUGCGAUUGCUUCAACAUCAUCUGGCUGCGAUGUAUUUUUGAAAAAAUUCUAUUACACGAAAAUAAUUUUAUUGCAAAAUGGGGUGUAACACAUGUUUGUAAACUGGAUGACGACACCAUAUUUGACGAUCAAUUUCUUGAAUUAUUCAUAGGUAUUUUGAACAAUAAUUUUCUCUACGAGUGCCAUUCCAAUGAGGAAUGUCCGGGAAUCGUGGAGGAGCUCUCACAAUUCCUUAGAUACGCGAAAAAGAGCGAUCUACUCAACAGAUUCCUGAAGAAGAUAAACUGCGUAGCCUGGGGUCCCGUAGCAAUAUUUUACGUGAUACACGUGUUACAAACGGUUUCGCACGAGGGGCCGCAGUAUUCCGAAUGGCAGGCAAGUGAAUUAAACGCCAUUAAAGUUUUAGUAGAGAUUAAUCUCAGCGCGCACUCUCACAUUCUACGCACUGCGUCUCAAAUCGAAUUACUGCGAGCAAUUCCCAAUUGUGCGCAACGAAUAAACGAUCUACCGUUGCUCGCUAACGUUUUGGCAACAUUUCCCUCUGGAGAGGGUCUCGUGAGAGGAACAGCUCCUUGGAACGUUAUUAAAACUUGGCUGCAAACGGUAUUAAAGGAAGGAGAUGUGGUAACUUUCAUGGAAAAAACUUGUGCGAGUUACAAGCAAGGAAACGUCAAUCUCGAGAUGAAUCCUAGAACAUUUGCGAUAAUGGUAUAUUUAAUGUACGAUGCAUCUCUUUUAUCCUUUUUCGGCAAGCCGACUCCCGCCAUGGAAGCGUUAAAUAAUUUACUAUACAUCUUGAAUGACAUCAGCGUGCGACCUUACGCCGAUAUCAUCUCCAGUAUGAAUGUAGUGGAAUUUAUAUCGCAUCUGCUGCACCUUUCCGUAAAAGGACCUCGCGAUAAAAUGACAAACUUUAUAUCGUCGCACAUGCACACCACUUUUAAUUUUUUAAUUAAGAAUACGAGGAGGAUAUCCGUUCAACUGACCUAUGAGGAUUACACGAGAUACGUAAGAAUCGUGUCCUCGCAUGUCGCCAACGCGCCUUUCUUCAUGUCGGAAAAAGAUAUACGCAGUUACGGGGAAAAGCUGGAAAACGAAAGUCUAAACUUGAUACGCAACUUGCAAACUGUAAAUAUGCAAUAUUUGUAUGGAUUACACGUUUUGCAUCUCUCUCAAAACAUACUGGUUUUACCAACUUUAUGUAAAAAGCAUUUACUUGGUAUAACGAGUGACAUCAAUAUGGUGAAUUUAAAAGGAAAAAUUGCGUCGGAAUAUUAUUUGCUUCUUUUGAAACUUAUGCAUCGGUAUCUUGUAAAUUCCCCAGUGGCCUCGUGGAUUUCCGUUGCCGCUAUGCUGACCAAUUUACUAAAAUUCCUUGAUGUGGGUUUGCCGGAAAAUGUCUCUGAAAUUGCAAAGAUACUAACGGUAAUGAUUGAUAAUAAAGUUGUAAGAGAAACGAGUGACAGGGAGACUUUGGAAUAUACUUUGAAUUUGAGCUUUACGUGUAUCGACAACGGUAAGAAGAAUAAUAAUGUCUUUUGGAUGGCGAUACAAAAUCUCAUGGGAGUUAUUAUUAAUAACAACUUUCUGCUUUUGCCCAACGCUGUACAAUUUACGGAAGGAUAUAUUGUUAAAUUAUUAAAUGAAGGCGAGAUUACAGCAAAGUUUAAAAGGAUAUUGCUUUCCAAACUAAAAAAUUUGGAUGUACAAAAUUUGAUGAGAUUAAAAAGUCCGUUAACACAUUGUCUCUUUCAUAGUCCCAUAUAUCGGCGUGACAAGAAAAUCGAAAAUCAUGCUCAUUUAUUUAUUGACAAGUACUUGGGUCAUUAUUAUCCAAAACAUGUUUUUAUCCUGGAUUCCAAUAAUGAUACUGCAAUUAGAGCAGAAGCGAUUGUACUGUUACAUAGAAUAAUUAGUUAUUCGGAAUCAGAUUGCAUAGCAUAUGUUAAUAAUCAUGCUCAGACGUUACUUGAUACAUUGAAAACGAAUAAAACCAAGAGAUACUUUAAUGAUUCGCCUUUACAUAAAUUCAAACACAGAAUAAUGCAAAUCUUAUUAAUAUUGGAACCAGCGUUGAGUGAGGAUUACGUUUGUUUACUGCAAGAGGAAUUGUGUGACUUAAUUUUUUCGGAAAGCAAUCAGUCUAGUGUGAAAAUUAUGCAGGAAUGGUUACUAGUACGAAUCUUUACCAAAAAUAUUCAUCUACGCGAUAAGUUGUGGUCACUUUUUGAAAAGAGUAUAAAGCAGCGUCCAACAUGUACGAUUUCUAUGGCAAGCAUUGUCUAUCAUAUCGCGAAACUCCUUUCACGCGAUGAACAGAAAAUUUUCAUUCGUACAGCUCUGCCGUAUAUAGUGCAGUGUUGUUUAGGACAGCAAUUUAGUGCGCGUAUUUAUAAUCAGUUUAUUUUGACACGAUUGUAUGACUUAAUGGAAAAAACUUUUGGCGAUAAUAGCAUAUUAGAAUACAAAGCUGUAUAUCAGGCAGCUGUGAUUGGUUUGUUACAAGAAUGUUCGACAAAAAAUUCAUUUAAAAUACAGGAUGAUUUUUACUUUUCUAAUUUCCAUCCGUUCGAAGACUACAGUUUGGAGACAAUUUAUUACGAAUUGCCACGUUUGACUAACGUAAGUCGUGACGAAUGGAUUAGUCCGACUGUAUUUAAAGACUUAAUGUUUAAGGAAAAUGACAAUCAUUCUUUACGGCAUUAUAACGUGAAUUCAUUUCCGACUAACAUUGAAUCUUCUGUAUAUCUGACGAAAUUUUUCACAGGUGAUAUGCAUACCAAGUUGUUAGAAAAUAAUGUUGAAAGUUGUAUGGAGGGUGUAUACGAUAUUCAGAAAAAGAUUAAUCCGUCGAAACCUAUAAAUUUGUGCAACGACAUUUGCGAAAUGAUGAAUGAAUUCAUAUUUCUACAAGACACACAAUCGCAUGAAGGUUUGAUAGUUGUGGCAUCAUUCGUUGAGCGAUCACCAAAUUUAGGCGGAAUCGCUAGGACAUGCGAGAUAUUAGGAGUUCGAGCACUAGUCGUCGCAAAUGCGAAUUGUGUAAAGGACAAGGAGUUUCAGUAUCUCAGUGUGUCUGCUGAUAAAUGGUUAAAUAUUCUGCAGGUAUUUCAACAACUUAUACCGGAUUGUUAGCGAAAUUUAAAAAAAAUCCCUGACUUUUCCCGAUCACUUUUUGAAAAAAAAUGUCCUGCUUGAAGCCGAAAAGGAGCACUUGAUAAAAACUAAGAAAAAUAGUGAAAUUUUUUAUUGAUUAUAAACAAAUUUUUUAAACAUGAGUAAUCGACGAGCCUAAACGAUCGUAGAUCAUAGAACAAGGAGAGGCUCGGACGUGUAAAUAAUCAAUUUCAACGAAACUCGUAGCGAUAGAUCUACAUGUCGACGCCGUCGAGACAUACCACACAUACAUUUACAUUAAUAGUACAUUUUAAUACGGUGUUUUCUUACAACUUCGCCAUAUCUCAGCCAAAUAUAUGAACAUUUUUCUUUGAAACUUUUAUGGAAUAAUCUUCAAUAUAUUUCUCAAAAUAUAGGGCGUAUAACAAGUUUUUCAAACAUUUCAAAGCCGAAUGCCAAAUUUUUCCAAAUAUUUCUCCAAAUUCGUAAUUUUAUUUAUUUGAUCGAAAAAGUUAUUGUACGAAUUUUCCAAUUGUCAACUUUUACCUUUUUGCUACAAUUUGCUUAUUCGUUAAUUAAGGAAGUUUUUUGAAAAGUUUCGGGUCUUUAAACAAUAAGGUGUAAGAUGAUGAUUUAUACGUCGAUGCGAUUGCAACAGAUUUUUCAUCUGUUAACAAGAUUGGAUUGAUAAUUAAUAUUUUUUUUUAACUAAAUUAAGUUUAAAUUAAUUUAUUUAGUUACAUUAAGAAUUCCACGAACGAAAAACCAACUUGGUUAAAAGUUGCGUUAAGAUUAACUUAAAUUAAAAGUUAUUUUAAUUUAUAUUAAAUUAGAAUGUUGUAAUUUUUAAUUAUAUUAUUGUAAAUAACAAGACAAUUGUAUGAAUCGAAUGAAUUCAAUAUUUUAUUUGUAAAUUAAAUUUGUAUGUGAAAUAACGAAAAAAUAUUGUUUUUUAUAUUGGUAUUUUUUCUUUCACAAUUUUUUUUCCUUUUAUGUAUAAUAUAUGUAACUUUAACUUGGAAUAGAAAAGUUUAUAAAUUGAAGUUUAUACGUUUUAAAAAUAACUAGUUAAAAAUUAACUCAUUUGAAAUUAACCAAGUUGAAAGUUUUAGUGUUUUAACAGUAUUAUUUAACUUUUAACUUUUUAAUUAAUUACUAUCCAAGUCUUUGUCUUUUUAAAGUAUAUUAAGGAUGGUUUUAAUUGGUUAUAAUAAAUACUCUGAUCUGAAAUUCUUAGGUGAAGCCACACGAGUUACAGAAAUUCUUAUUGGACAAAAAGAAUGCGGGAUGGUCUUUAAUUGGGGUUGAACAAACGGUCAAUAGUGUAAAUCUGACGACAAUGACAUUCGAGAAAAGGACAAUUCUUGUUUUAGGGUAAUUAAAUUCCGAUUUGUUAAGGAGCGGUGUAGGAUCGUAGACUAAUGUAGACGAAGCCUUUUACGAGGUCACUGAUAUUAAUAGUAAAGGAAUGAGGAGGACUAUCGUCACAUCGGCUAUUUCCACAGCGUUCUUCUGAUAUAUUCGAUUUUACGUAAAGCAGAGAUGUGGCCACGCAUUGAAUGGAGAUUGGCAUAGCAUUUGCUAUGUGUGCCCGAGGCAUGGGCUAAAAUGGCUCGAUAUGUGUUGAUUUGGCGACGAUUCAAAAAACGGCCAUAAGGAUACUACUUCUUUCAUUCACUUUAAAACUGAUAUAGAAUCACUGCACCAGUUGCUGAACAAUAGCCAGCAAAUGACUGUUUAAGAAAAAUAUUAAAGCAAGACUAUAAAAUAAUAAAUUGCAAAUUGAUAGUUUUUUUAGAUUUAAUUUUCACGCAGAUGCACUAUCGAAAUAUCUUUCACUUGAAAAUAUAAUUAUAUUAAUCCUAGAAUGCUACUCAUGAUUUUUCUGAUAUCAACGCUACUCUAAGAAUUAAUCCGCAUUUCAGAAUUUGUUACACUUUUUUUCUACUUUAUAAGUUGCAAGGUAUUAAAAUAACCGAUCUUUAACACUAUUUUAAUGUAAAAAAAAUUUUAUUAAAUAUUUUUAAGUUGUAACAAAAACUGUAAUAAACUUGAAUUAAUACUUGGAUUAAAAUGUAAUCGUAACAGUAUUCUAGGAUUAAAUUGUUUCUAUUUGUCCAUUAACUGAUUGAAUCUCUUAAUCUGUUCUGAACUGACUAUUGUAACUGACGACUAAUUAGGAAUCUAUUUUGUAGGAACGAGAAGAAUGGUAUACCAGCGAAUUUUAUACCUCUCUUUGACACGUGUGUGCAGAUACCUCAAGUAGGAGUGACACGAUCAUUGAAUGUUCACGUUACCGCUGCGAUUUGUAUAUGGCAUUAUGCGAACCAACAUGUAUUGAAGUAAUAAUUUUUUUUCUUAUUUAUAAGAUACAUGAUGAUGAUAUUAAAUAAAUGUAUUUUUAAUAAAAUAAGUCUCGUUACAGUAA
RNA transcript from Solenopsis invicta (red fire ant), 7011 nucleotides. RefSeq lists it as uncharacterized. NCBI's taxonomy places the organism in Eukaryota, Metazoa, Arthropoda, Insecta, Hymenoptera, Formicidae. The transcript is spliced from 11 exons. The record is from RefSeq and is a predicted model, not a curated record.